GUGCUUAACCAUGCAAGUCGAACGAUGAACCGCUUUCGGGCGGGGAUUAGUGGCGAACGGGUGAGUAACACGUGGGCAAUCUGCCCUGCACUCUGGGACAAGCCCUGGAAACGGGGUCUAAUACCGGAUAUGACUGUCNNNCGCAUGGUGGAUGGUGUAAAGCUCCGGCGGUGCAGGAUGAGCCCGCGGCCUAUCAGCUUGUUGGUGAGGUAGUGGCUCACCAAGGCGACGACGGGUAGCCGGCCUGAGAGGGCGACCGGCCACACUGGGACUGAGACACGGCCCAGACUCCUACGGGAGGCAGCAGUGGGGAAUAUUGCACAAUGGGCGAAAGCCUGAUGCAGCGACGCCGCGUGAGGGAUGACGGCCUUCGGGUUGUAAACCUCUUUCAGCAGGGAAGAAGCGAAAGUGACGGUACCUGCAGAAGAAGCGCCGGCUAACUACGUGCCAGCAGCCGCGGUAAUACGUAGGGCGCAAGCGUUGUCCGGAAUUAUUGGGCGUAAAGAGCUCGUAGGCGGCUUGUCACGUCGGUUGUGAAAGCCCGGGGCUUAACCCCGGGUCUGCAGUCGAUACGGGCAGGCUAGAGUUCGGUAGGGGAGAUCGGAAUUCCUGGUGUAGCGGUGAAAUGCGCAGAUAUCAGGAGGAACACCGGUGGCGAAGGCGGAUCUCUGGGCCGAUACUGACGCUGAGGAGCGAAAGCGUGGGGAGCGAACAGGAUUAGAUACCCUGGUAGUCCACGCCGUAAACGGUGGGCACUAGGUGUGGGCAACAUUCCACGUUGUCCGUGCCGCAGCUA
RNAcentral lists this ribosomal RNA (796 nucleotides) under Streptomyces sp. D32. RNAcentral's name for it is "bacterial SSU rRNA". It matches the Rfam family "Bacterial small subunit ribosomal RNA", at positions 44 to 854 of the family's 1533-position model. The record is from RNAcentral. Lineage: Bacteria; Bacillati; Actinomycetota; Actinomycetes; Kitasatosporales; Streptomycetaceae.